Molecule: ribosomal RNA, 785 nt
Filed under: uncultured Helotiales
Lineage: Eukaryota; Fungi; Ascomycota; Leotiomycetes; Helotiales
Description: eukaryotic LSU rRNA
Rfam family: 5.8S ribosomal RNA (bases 239-392)
Source: RNAcentral
CUUGGUCAUUUAGAGGAAGUAAAAGUCGUAACAAGGUCUCCGUAGGUGAACCUGCGGAGGGAUCAUUACCGAGUUCAUGCCCGCACGGGUAGAUCUCCCAACCCUAUGUUAUCAUUACCUUCGUUGCUUUGGCGGGCCGUCAGGCUUCGGCUAGGCUACCGGCUCCGGCUGGUAAGCGCCCGCCAGAGGACCCUCAACUCUGAAUAUUAGUGUCGUCUGAGUACUAUCUAAUAGUUAAAACUUUCAACAACGGAUCUCUUGGUUCUGGCAUCGAUGAAGAACGCAGCGAAAUGCGAUAAGUAAUGUGAAUUGCAGAAUUCAGUGAAUCAUCGAAUCUUUGAACGCACAUUGCGCCCCUUGGUAUUCCGAGGGGCAUGCCUGUUCGAGCGUCAUUACAACCCUCAAGCACUGCUUGGUAUUGGGCCCCGCUGCUAACGCUGCGGGCCUUAAAAUCAGUGGCGGCGCCGCUGGGCUCUGAGCGUAGUAAAUUUCCUCGCUACGGAGUCCUGGCGGCGGUGGUCAUUAACCCCCCAACUUUCUUAAGUUUGACCUCGGAUCAGGUAGGGAUACCCGCUGAACUUAAGCAUAUCAAUAAGCGGAGGAUCCUCCGCUUAUUGAUAUGCCCAAGUCUAAGGUGUCAUAGCAUAAGCCCAUUACUAAUUGCUGAUGUAGCAUUUACCAAGGAUUAAAUCACUAUUUUUCCUUGCACAUAUAGUGAUGUGGGCAUCGUCUUAUAAUUACGGAUUCAUACCUCCUAUCUACCUUACUUCCUCUAAAUGACCAAG